AGAGUUUGAUCCUGGCUCAGGAUGAACGCUGGCGGCGUGCUUAACACAUGCAAGUCGAACGAACCUUCGGGUUAGUGGCGGACGGGUGAGUAACGCGUGGGAACCUGCCCUCAGGAGGGGGAUAACGGUUGGAAACGGCCGCUAAUACCCCAUAUGCCGAGAGGUGAAACGAAUUUCGCCUGAGGAUGGGCCCGCGUCUGAUUAGCUAGUUGGUGGGGUAAGAGCCUACCAAGGCGACGAUCAGUAGCUGGUCUGAGAGGAUGAUCAGCCACACUGGGACUGAGACACGGCCCAGACUCCUACGGGAGGCAGCAGUGGGGAAUUUUCCGCAAUGGGCGAAAGCCUGACGGAGCAACGCCGCGUGAGGGAUGAAGGCCUCUGGGCUGUAAACCUCUUUUCUCAAGGAAGAAGACCUGACGGUACUUGAGGAAUAAGCCACGGCUAAUUCCGUGCCAGCAGCCGCGGUAAUACGGGAGUGGCAAGCGUUAUCCGGAAUUAUUGGGCGUAAAGCGUCCGCAGGUGGCCCUGUAAGUCUGUCGUUAAAGCGUGGAGCUUAACUCCAUUUAAGCGAUGGAAACUACAGGGCUAGAGUGUGGUAGGGGCAGAGGGAAUUCCCGGUGUAGCGGUGAAAUGCGUAGAUAUCGGGAAGAACACCAGUGGCGAAGGCGCUCUGCUGGGCCAUCACUGACACUCAUGGACGAAAGCCAGGGGAGCGAAAGGGAUUAGAUACCCCUGUAGUCCUGGCCGUAAACGAUGAACACUAGGUGUCGGGGGAAUCGACCCCCUCGGUGUCGUAGCCAACGCGUUAAGUGUUCCGCCUGGGGAGUACGCACGCAAGUGUGAAACUCAAAGGAAUUGACGGGGGCCCGCACAAGCGGUGGAGUAUGUGGUUUAAUUCGAUGCAACGCGAAGAACCUUACCAGGGUUUGACAUCCUGCGAAUCCCUUGGAAACGAGGGAGUGCCUUCGGGAGCGCAGAGACAGGUGGUGCAUGGCUGUCGUCAGCUCGUGUCGUGAGAUGUUGGGUUAAGUCCCGCAACGAGCGCAACCCACGUCGUUAGUUGCCAGCAUUCAGUUGGGCACUCUAGCGAGACCGCCGGUGAUAAACCGGAGGAAGGUGUGGAUGACGUCAAGUCAUCAUGCCCCUUACAUCCUGGGCUACACACGUACUACAAUGCUACGGACAAAGGGCAGCGAUCCCGCGAGGGCUAGCAAAUCCCAUAAACCGUGGCUCAGUUCAGAUCGUAGGCUGCAACUCGCCUACGUGAAGGAGGAAUCGCUAGUAAUCGCAGGUCAGCAUACUGCGGUGAAUACGUUCCCGGGCCUUGUACACACCGCCCGUCACACCAUGGAAGUUGGCCACGCCCGAAGUCGUUACUCCAACCCUUGUGGAGGAGGACGCCGAAGGUGGGGCUGAUGACUGGGGUGAAGUCGUAACAAGGUA
This 1443-nucleotide ribosomal RNA is filed under the name metagenome. RNAcentral's name for it is "bacterial SSU rRNA". It matches the Rfam family "Bacterial small subunit ribosomal RNA". The record is from RNAcentral.